RNAcentral lists this long non-coding RNA (1942 nucleotides) under Phaseolus vulgaris (common bean). RNAcentral's name for it is "long non-coding RNA (PVUL_LNC001503)". The record is from RNAcentral. Lineage: Eukaryota; Viridiplantae; Streptophyta; Magnoliopsida; Fabales; Fabaceae.
GAGAAAAGAUUGCAGAGUAGUGUAGAAUAGGGCUAAAGGAAAGAUAGCAAUUUGGUUGCAUAGAUUGGCAAGUGUGCUUAGGUUGAUAAGAAGUAUAUAUUUGAAGGGAAAAUAGGAAGCUUCGUGGAAGGUGUGAAGGUAGGAAGAAACCAAUGCAUGUGGGGAUAUAUGCUUGAGGAUGCAAACAUGUUAGUGGCUAUUGGGAACACUGAAGGGUGGCUAUUCAAGAGUGAGGUUUACCAGAUUAGAUGGAACUACCAAUUGAUGAGUUUUGGAUGCAAGUGAAGAUAAUAAUGUGACAGAAGACAGAACCAAGUUUUCAAUAUUUUGCUACAAUUCUCAAUUCUCAUUUAUUCAUCCAUUGUCUCCAGUUUUGGUCGAGAAAGGAUAGACACAAACAUAAAGCUGAACCAGUUCACGUGAUUCCCUCGUGGCUGAGCCUCUUGGACAGUUAGAUAUGUACAUGCGACAAAACAAAUUACGAAUACAUGGUUAUGGUAGAAUAUCCAUCAUUGAUUCUGCAAUCUUGUGAUCCAUCACUUCAUUGGCCAAGGAUAUGUAAAUUUAGUUUUCCAUAUUUCUAAAUGUUUUGGUGGGUUUGACACUGAUAUUCAUCCGGAGGAUUGCAUUCACAUGUAAUUUUAAAAUUUGAUUAUUUCACACAAGAGUUGUAAACUCAUAUAUUUUACUGUGCAUUUGUGUGCAGUUAUCAAAGUUUUACAUUAAUCAUAAAUCCUAUAAAUCCAUGUUCUCUAGCAUAGAAUGAUGUUUUUUUGUUUUCUUUCUUUAACUAUGUUUUAAAAACAUCAGUAACUUGAACAAAAUAAAAUAUCACUGAUUAGUCAUUUCUAGCUAUAUGUUCAUGUGACUGAGUAGAAAAUAUCAGAAAUGGUUAAGUAUAGUACUGAGUGUUGUUCUAAAAUUCAACAUAGUAGGGUUAAAAAUAUCUUUAAAUCAUAAUAACAUCCAUGUUUGAUGUCAGACUUAAAUUUGAAAGAAAAAACACACUGAUUAUAAAGACAAAUGGGUGCGGUCCCUCAGUAGCUACGAUAGUCACGAGAGAGAGAUAGAGAGCUGUGAUACUUCUGCAGCAGCUACCAUACAGCCACGUGAAAUAAAAAGGUCUGAUAUAGAUCAAAACAUGUUCUACAGUGUUCACAGAGCAAGGAAAAUAAUGAUGAAUCUGUAGAAGAUAUGCAACAAAUAAUAGACAUAAUUAAUAAGGAGAGAAUAUUUUUUUUAUAUUAUAUCAUAAAGACCAGCAUUAAUCCUAACCAAUAUACUUUCAUGUCUGCAGACAUUCCUUAUUCUGGCCCAGAUUAUGCUGCAUUAUUUGAUUUUACAAAACUAACAAGAAAAUUUAAAAUACACAUAAUGAUUGAAUUUUAAUUUAUUACUUAUGUGUUUGCAGAAGAAAGAAAAAAAUUAUACGGAAGUUGCAACUUCACUCACGGGUUCUCUAUAAUCCAAAAUAUGAAAAUUUCAUGUGAUCAUAUAUAAAGUAAUAAUCUGUGACUAUUUUACCUAAACUAAAAGUAUAAGUAAAAGUUUAAAAUGUACAUAAUAGUUUUCUUAUUUUAUUGUCUACUUAAGAAAGUCUAAUAAUAUACUGUCUUAAGGAUGGAAAGAAAGAAACUUCUAUCCUUUAUACUACUUAAACAUAACUUAUCUUUCAUGCGUAAUAUUUCAGUAAGACAGUGUAAAGGAAAUGAAGGAAGUGAAGGACACAGUACCUUGUGGAAUGUGCUUCUUCCCACUCUCUGAGCAAAACUAUCACCAAGUCUGAUUUCUUCACUAAAUCUCUCGAACAAUUGUUUUGUGCAAGAUGAUUUUGAGCAAUAUAUAGAGCAGAUAGAAAGCACUUUAUGUCUUUUGCCUUGGGAAAUUUCUUACCACUUUCUAUGUCAACCACUUUUCAGCAUUGAUGUGGUUUGUUAAUUUC